UGGGGAAUUUUGGACAAUGGGCGCAAGCCUGAUCCAGCAAUGCCGCGUGCAGGAUGAAGGCCUUCGGGUUGUAAACUGCUUUUGUACGGAGCGAAAAGGUCUGCCCUAAUACGGUGGGCUCAUGACGGUACCGUAAGAAUAAGCACCGGCUAACUACGUGCCAGCAGCCGCGGUAAUACGUAGGGUGCGAGCGUUAAUCGGAAUUACUGGGCGUAAAGCGUGCGCAGGCGGUUAUAUAAGACAGAUGUGAAAUCCCCGGGCUUAACCUGGGAACUGCAUUUGUAACUACAUAGCUAGAGUGUGGUAGAGGGGAGUGGAAUUCCGUGUGUAGCAGUGAAAUGCGUAGAUAUACGGAGGAACAUCAAUGGCGAAGGCAGUCCCCUGGGUCUAUACUGACGCUCGUGCACGAAAGCGUGGGGAGCAAACA
This 427-nucleotide ribosomal RNA is filed under the name uncultured bacterium. Its description in RNAcentral is "bacterial SSU rRNA". It matches the Rfam family "Bacterial small subunit ribosomal RNA", at positions 355 to 774 of the family's 1533-position model. The record is from RNAcentral.